RNAcentral lists this ribosomal RNA (572 nucleotides) under uncultured bacterium. RNAcentral's name for it is "partial 16S ribosomal RNA". It matches the Rfam family "Bacterial small subunit ribosomal RNA", at positions 355 to 918 of the family's 1533-position model. The record is from RNAcentral.
UGGGGAAUUUUGGACAAUGGGGGCAACCCUGAUCCAGCAAUGCCGCGUGUGUGAAGAAGGCCUUCGGGUUGUAAAGCACUUUUGUCCGGAAAGAAAUCCUUGGCUCUAAUACAGUCGGGGGAUGACGGUACCGGAAGAAUAAGCACCGGCUAACUACGUGCCAGCAGCCGCGGUAAUACGUAGGGUGCAAGCGUUAAUCGGAAUUACUGGGCGUAAAGCGUGCGCAGGCGGUUUGCUAAGACCGAUGUGAAAUCCCCGGGCUCAACCUGGGAACUGCAUUGGUGACUGGCAGGCUAGAGUAUGGCAGAGGGGGGUAGAAUUCCACGUGUAGCAGUGAAAUGCGUAGAGAUGUGGAGGAAUACCGAUGGCGAAGGCAGCCCCCUGGGCCAAAUACUGACGCUCAUGCACGAAAGCGUGGGGAGCAAACAGGAUUAGAUACCCUGGGUAGUCCACGCCCUAAACGAUGUCAACUAGUUGUUGGGGAUUCAUUUCCUUAGUAACGUAGCUAACGCGUGAAGUUGACCGCCUGGGGAGUACGGUCGCAAGAUUAAAACUUAAAUGAAUUGACGGGG